Molecule: long non-coding RNA, 765 nt
Filed under: Homo sapiens (human)
Lineage: Eukaryota; Metazoa; Chordata; Mammalia; Primates; Hominidae
Description: novel transcript, antisense to CEP152
Source: RNAcentral
GUAGGGUCUCAGGGCGACCCCAGCAGCCUGGAAACGAGGCGGGCUUCCCAUAUGUCACUUCUAAGUAGGAUAUUGGAGGAAUGAAGAGGUCUAAAUGACACGUUAAGGUCCAAGCUCACCCGUGAAUCAGAACUUACCGGAGGCCACGGAGGCUGUUACCGCGAGGAAACUCUAGUCCUGGCGGAAGACCAACUUCUAGCAGAUCCCCUUACCCUGGCUCUAGUCCACUAGCUCCUUCCUAGUCACAACCGAACUCACGGGGCGGAGGCCCUUAAGGAGCACUCGCAUCCUUCAAUCGCCGACUAGAAGCUCGCCCGGUGGGCGGAGCCGUGCCAGCUCAGGGCAGAGCGAGGAGGCAGAAGUCUCCGCCUUCCUCAAGCUUGGUUGAGAAGUCCACCUGCAGUUGCAAAGUACGGCUGUUUGAAAGCGGGCGCCAGAGGUGGCGGGAAGCUCCCCCUGUGCGCCCAUUGGUGGAUUCGAGAGCCAAUUACGAGGAAGUCACCCCGGAGUGGGCGGGCUGAUCGGUUGCCUAGAGACGCCGAGGCGCUUCACCCGCUACCUUCGGCCAGGGUGCAGCAGUCUUACGGGGACCCCUUGCCCGUUUGGUACCGGAGACUGCAAAGGUGACUCGUGCCUCCUGCGCUUCAGCACACAGAAUCCCGCAGAUUCCCCACCGAACUCUUGCCUUAGAGGUUUUUUACAUUUGCCCUUGUUUUCUAAGGCGCCUGCUUCCCCAUUAUUUAACAGCCUUAGAUAUUUUGCUUU